This 166-nucleotide ribosomal RNA is filed under the name uncultured bacterium. Its description in RNAcentral is "partial 16S rRNA". It matches the Rfam family "Bacterial small subunit ribosomal RNA", at positions 355 to 511 of the family's 1533-position model. The record is from RNAcentral.
UAGGGAAUCUUCCACAAAUGGACGAAAGUACUGAUGGAGNAACGCCGCGUGAGUGAAGAAGGGUUUCGGCUCGUAAAACUCUGUUGUUAAAGAAGAACAUAUCUGAGAGUAACUGUUCAGGUAUUGACGGUAUUUAACCAGAAAGCCNCGGCUAACUACGUGCCAG